GAUGAACGCUGGCGGCGCGCCUAACACAUGCAAGUCGAACGGUGACGGGGGCUUCGGUCCCCUGAUCAGUGGCGGACGGGUGAGUAACGCGUGAGUAACCCGCCCUUAUGAGCGGAAUAACGUUUGGAAACGAACGCUAAUACCGCAUGAUGCAUUUUUGCGGCAUCGCAGAAAUGCCAAAGAUUUAUCGCAUAAGGAUGGACUCGCGUCCCAUUAGAUAGUUGGCGGGGUAACGGCCCACCAAGUCAGCGAUGGGUAGCCGGACUGAGAGGUUGAACGGCCACAUUGGAACUGAGAAACGGUCCAG
RNAcentral lists this ribosomal RNA (307 nucleotides) under uncultured bacterium. Its description in RNAcentral is "bacterial SSU rRNA". It matches the Rfam family "Bacterial small subunit ribosomal RNA", at positions 28 to 334 of the family's 1533-position model. The record is from RNAcentral.